RNAcentral lists this ribosomal RNA (486 nucleotides) under uncultured bacterium. RNAcentral describes it as "partial 16S ribosomal RNA". It matches the Rfam family "Bacterial small subunit ribosomal RNA", at positions 28 to 507 of the family's 1533-position model. The record is from RNAcentral.
GACGAACGCUGGCGGCGUGCUUAACACAUGCAAGUCGAACGCUGAAGACCUGGCUUUUGUUGGGUUGGAUGAGUGGCGAACGGGUGAGUAACACGUGAGUAACCUGCCCUCUUCUUUGGGAUAACGCCCGGAAACGGGUGCUAAUACUGGAUAUUCACUGAUCUUCGCAUGGGGGUUGGUGGAAAGGUUUGUUCUGGUGGGGGAUGGGCGCGCGGCCUAUCAGCUUGUUGGUGGGGUGAUGGCCUACCAAGGCUUUGACGGGUAGCCGGCCUGCGAGGGUGACCGGUCACAUUGGGACUGAGAUACGGCCCAGACUCCUACGGGAGGCAGCAGUGGGGAAUAUUGCACAAUGGGCGAAAGCCUGAUGCAGCGACGCCGCGUGAGGGAUGGAGGCCUUCGGGUUGUAAACCUCUUUCGCUCAUGGUCAAGCCGCAACUGUGGGUUGUGGUGAGGGUAGUGGGUAAAGAAGCGCCGGCUAACUACGUG